UGGCUUCAUAUAGACAUCUUGGGAGGACAGAAUGUUGUUCAAGACCUCUCCCUUUGGACCUUCAACUAUAAAUUUCUCAAGGUUAUCUCAGAGGUGUUGUGGCCAAGAGCAGGGAAUCAUGAAAGGUUAAAGGAGCAUAUGAGGGAUGCCCGGGUGGUUCAGCGGUUGAGCUGCUACCUCUGGCUCAGGGCAUGACCCUGGGAUCCUGGGGUCAAGUCCCGCAUCGGGCUCCCUGCAUGGAGCCUGCUUCUCCCUCUGCCUCUCAUGAAUAAAUACAUAAUAUCUUUAAAAAUAGGCAUGUAAGUCAAGAUGUCAUCUGAACAGAUGACGACUAUUUUAUAAGAUUAUGAGAAAUCCUUUCAUUAGUCCUAGGAAGAAUACAAGGUCAUCUGCCAGAAGAGCCCAACAUAUGCUUCGGAUGAUGCCAAAAGAUGAAAAUUCAUUAAAAUCUAACGUCUAUGGAGAUGGCCCAGAAUGCUGAUGAUCUGUUUGUCUGCCAUCCUGUUGAGUGAUCCUGUUGAGGCUGUAGCAAUCUUAAUGCUGGGGUGUUUUUCCUGUUCACACAAUGUGCUGCCCUCCCUCCCCCAGGGGGAACCAGUGGCUUGCUGAAUCUGCACUGCAAGUUGGUACAGGUAGGUUAGGGAGCAAAGCAAUCAGGAUUCUUCAGUUACAAACAGAGAAAAACAACUCAAAGUUGCUUAAGAUCUCAGACAUGUCUCAUGAAAACAAGGAAAGGAAUGCACCUGGACCUCACAAGUAAUUGUAAUAAGAACACAGAAAACCUAGUUUGAGUCAGAAACCUAAGAAAUACCAUCUUCAUCUUCAUCUCCUGUGCUGUGUUUCUGGGGGAGUUUGCUUCAUUCUUUGCCAGGUAAGUGGACUGAUACAAACCUAAUCCACUUGACGGGAAAGCAGUCCCUUAGAACCAGGUGUAUCCCGUCAGUCAUAUGUAAGAUGUCUGGAUCAGCUUCAUUUACUUCAAGUUAAGAAUCAUCUCCUGAGCAAGAGCCAGAGACAUCAGAGGCAGAGGGAGAAGCAGCCCCCUGCUGAGCUGGGAGCCCAGAGUGGGGCUCCAUCCCAGGACCCUGGAAUCAUGACCUGAGCUGAAGGCAGAUGCUUAACUGACUGAACCACCCAGGCACCUCAGUCACACACAGAGAGAGGGAGAGAGGCAGAGACACAGGCAGAGGGAGAAGCAGGCUCCAUGCACCGGGAGCCCGACGCGGGACUCGAUCCCGGGUCUCCAGGAUCGCGCCCUGGGCUGCAGGCGGCGCCAAACGCUGCGCCCCCGGGAUCCCCCACCGUUUCUCUCAGUGGACAGCCCGCGGGUAGGAGCCGCCCCGCCGGGCUGCCCCGGCCUUCCCCACCU
Nyctereutes procyonoides (raccoon dog) is the source of this 1369-nucleotide long non-coding RNA. RefSeq lists it as uncharacterized. Lineage: Eukaryota; Metazoa; Chordata; Mammalia; Carnivora; Canidae. The record is from RefSeq and is a predicted model, not a curated record. The transcript is spliced from 3 exons.